UACAGAGGUCCCAAGCGUUGUUCGGAUUCAUUGGGCGUAAAGGGUGCGUAGGCGGCGCGGUAAGUCGGGUGUGAAAUUUCGGAGCUUAACUCCGAAACUGCAUUCGAUACUGCCGUGCUUGAGGACUGGAGAGGAGACUGGAAUUUACGGUGUAGCAGUGAAAUGCGUAGAGAUCGUAAGGAAGACCAGUGGCGAAGGCGGGUCUCUGGACAGUUCCUGACGCUGAGGCACGAAGGCCAGGGGAGCAAACGGG
Molecule: ribosomal RNA, 253 nt
Filed under: uncultured bacterium
Lineage: Bacteria
Description: partial 16S ribosomal RNA
Rfam family: Bacterial small subunit ribosomal RNA
Source: RNAcentral